Molecule: long non-coding RNA, 816 nt
Organism: Capsicum annuum
Lineage: Eukaryota; Viridiplantae; Streptophyta; Magnoliopsida; Solanales; Solanaceae
Exons: 2
Source: RefSeq, a predicted model, not a curated record
UCACCCCAACAAAAGAAGGAUUAGAAUCGUUAGCUAAAGUUGAAUCUUGGUUGUAUUUACCAUGGGCAUUCAACAAGUCUCACAAAUGCCAAAAGGAGUAAUUAAUAUCUCUAUUACUUCUCUUGCUUGGAAGAUUGAGCUCAUACAAGCUAAUACCACUGCCUAAACAACAAGAAGCUUUAGAGCUACCAUUACCUUUUCCUAAUUUUUUGAUUACACAUUAUCACCCUUCCUAAUUGUUUCAGUAGGUGGAUUUUGAAUCUGCCAUUCCAGAUGCAUGUAUUGCCACAACAAUCCCUAUUCCUCAGAUUAAGUGAUAUAUCAGGAACCUGCAAUUGCUGUCUCAACAUUAACUGUUGCUAAUUCCAACCUUGGGUUAGAUGACUCUAACAUGAGAGUUGUUUCUGGGUAUGAUCCAUCUAAUUGAUCAUUUGUCACUGCAUCAGAUGCAUCAACUUGUAAAGGUGUGUGGAAUGUGGCCUGAGCUAACUGUUGGUCAAUAUCCUCUUUGCUCAAAUUAAUUAUCUCCUUUUUGUCAGUCUUUUUAAUUUACAGGUUCUCUAUUUAACUCAUCAGAAUCUUCACCAGUUACCAUCAUCUGAAGCAAGUUGACUUCUGUAGUUUCUUGUAGCUUCUCACUUUUUUGUAUUUUUUUGUUUCAAAUGUUGUUGUUGUCUUCUUCUUUAGUAUUUUGCCACUGUUGUGUAUUGUCUUGAACUUUGUCAUUGUUGUAUUUUCCUUCCUAACACCCUUUCCCUACACUUUUCUCCUGAUUAGCAUUUUCCUGAAAUUUUGUUUGUUUCUUCCUCUCGUGCA